RNAcentral lists this ribosomal RNA (497 nucleotides) under uncultured bacterium. Its description in RNAcentral is "bacterial SSU rRNA". It matches the Rfam family "Bacterial small subunit ribosomal RNA", at positions 19 to 518 of the family's 1533-position model. The record is from RNAcentral.
AUGGCUCAGGAUGAACGCUGGCGGCGUGCUUAACACAUGCAAGUCGAACGGAGUUUUUAACGGAAGUUUCGGAUGGAAGUUUAAGAACUUAGUGGCGGACGGGUGAGUAACGCGUGGGUAACCUGCCUCAUACAGGGGGAUAACAGUUAGAAAUGACUGCUAACACCGCAUAAUAUAGCGAAACCGCAUGAUUUUGCUAUCAAAUAUUUAUAGGUAUGAGAUGGGCCCGCGUCUGAUUAGCUAGUUGGUGGGGUAAAAGCCUACCAAGGCGACGAUCAGUAGCCGGCUUGAGAGAGUGACCGGCCACAUUGGGACUGAGACACGGCCCAAACUCCUACGGGAGGCAGCAGUGGGAAUAUUGGACAAUGGGGGAAACCCUGAUCCAGCGAACCGCCGCGUGAGUGAAGAAGUAUUUCGGUAUGUAAAGCUCUAUCAGCAGGGAAGAUAAUGACAGUACCUGACUAAGAAGCCCCGGCUAACUACGUGCCAGCCGCAGC